This 979-nucleotide ribosomal RNA is filed under the name uncultured bacterium. Its description in RNAcentral is "bacterial SSU rRNA". It matches the Rfam family "Bacterial small subunit ribosomal RNA", at positions 510 to 1502 of the family's 1533-position model. The record is from RNAcentral.
AGCCGCCGCGGUAAUACGGAGGAUCCAAGCGUUAUCCGGAUUCAUUGGAUUUAGAGGGUCCGUAGGCGGAUUUUUAAGUCAGUGGUGAAAGCCGACAGCUCAACUGUCGAACUGCCAUUGAUACUGGAGAUCUUGAGUACAAAUGAAGUAGGCGGAAUGAGUCAUGUAGCGGUGAAAUGCAUAGAUAUGACUCAGAACACCAAUUGCGAAGGCAGCUUACUAACAUGUAACUGACGCUGAGGGACGAAAGCGUGGGGAGCGAACAGGAUUAGAUACCCUGGUAGUCCACGCCGUAAACGAUCAUCACUCGCUGUUGGCGAUAUACAGUCAGCGGCCAAGCGAAAGUAUUAAGUGAUGCACCUGGGGAGUACGCCGGCAACGGUGAAACUCAAAGGAAUUGACGGGGGCCCGCACAAGCGGUGGAGCAUGUGGUUUAAUUCGAUGAUACGCGAGGAACCUUACCAGGGCUUAAAUGUAGUUUGACCGGUCUGGAAACAGACUUUCUCUUCGGAGCAGAUUACAAGGUGCUGCAUGGUUGUCGUCAGCUCGUGCCGUGAGGUGUUAGGUUAAGUCCUGCAACGAGCGCAACCCCUAUUCUUAGUUGCCAGCGGUUCGGCCGGGGACUCUAAGAAGACUGCCAGCGCAAGCUGAGAGGAAGGUGGGGAUGACGUCAAAUCAUCACGGCCCUUACGUCCUGGGCUACACACGUGCUACAAUGGUAGAGACAGAGGGCAGCCACCUGGUGACAGGGAGCGAAUCCUUAAACUCUAUCUCAGUUCGGAUCGAAGUCUGCAACUCGACUUCGUGAAGCUGGAAUCGCUAGUAAUCGCGCAUCAGCCAUGGCGCGGUGAAUACGUUCCCGGGCCUUGUACACACCGCCCGUCAAGCCAUGGAAGCUGGGGGUACCUGAAGUCGGUAACCGUAAGGAGCUGCCUAGGGUAAAACUAGUAACUAGGGCUAAGUCGUAACAAGGUAGCCG